This 429-nucleotide ribosomal RNA is filed under the name Gemmatimonadota bacterium. RNAcentral's name for it is "Gemmatimonadetes bacterium partial 16S ribosomal RNA". It matches the Rfam family "Bacterial small subunit ribosomal RNA", at positions 355 to 776 of the family's 1533-position model. The record is from RNAcentral. Lineage: Bacteria; Pseudomonadati; Gemmatimonadota.
UAGGGAAUCUUCGGCAAUGGACGAAAGUCUGACCGAGCAACGCCGCGUGAGUGAAGAAGGUUUUCGGAUCGUAAAACUCUGUUGUUAGAGAAGAACAAGGACGUUAGUAACUGAACGUCCCCUGACGGUAUCUAACCAGAAAGCCACGGCUAACUACGUGCCAGCAGCCGCGGUAAUACGUAGGUGGCAAGCGUUGUCCGGAUUUAUUGGGCGUAAAGCGAGCGCAGGCGGUUUCUUUAGUCUGAUGUGAAAGCCCCCGGCUCAACCGGGGAGGGUCAUUGGAAACUGGGAGACUUGGGUGCAGAAGAGGGGAGUGGAAUUCCAUGUGUAGCGGUGAAAUGCAGAGAUAUAUGGAGGAACACCAGUGGCGAAGGCGGCUCUCUGGUCUGUAACUGACGCUGAGGCUCGAAAGCGUGGGGAGCAAACAGG